UGUCUUUGCUUAAACAGAUUUGUAAAGAAGCGGCUGAGAAGUUGCCACACACUUCAAGCUAAGUCUUCCACAGCAAUGAGCAACAAACAAAGCGUGGGGGUUUUAAUAGUUAAAUAGAUGGUUCCAAUAAAAGUCACUUUCCUCCAGUCCUGUAUUCUUUGGGCAGACAAUCGUGAGUCUGCGGCGGGAUCUCCUCCAAAGGCUCGCGGUCAGUGAUUGAUGGUCGGGACACAGGGCCGACAUGAUGCUAGCUUACGACCGUGGUCCCCUCGGUGGCCGGCCUUCCUUUAUCACCGCCCGGGGUCUGAAUGGGCAGGGGCGUAAAUCGCAGGGGUGCAGGGAGGACACGGCACCCUCUCUCCUGACAGCCAUUCACAGAAUAUUUGGAACAAACGAUUGACAGAUACAGAGAAGCUCAGACUAGAGCCGCUGCUCCUCCACGUAUACCAACGAAGGAGUUAGCACCAGAGCUGGAGUCAGUGGUACAGAACUUGGUCAGUCUGAGUACUCAGGGAAAGGAACACAGUUUGGAACUCUUUGCCACUGGAGCUAAAAUCCCAAAUGGACCUGAGACUUUUCUCCCAGAAGCUGAAGCUGUGGCUAAAGAACAAACAAAAGUGUGAGCACUGAGCUGUAUGGAUGGACUUGGGAUGUGAAGUGGUCAGAUAUGUCUCUCUUCUUUCUUUUUAUUGUUGUAUUGUUCGAUGCUUUUUACUGAUUUUCUGUCUUUCUAUUCUUUUAUAUACCUUAGAAAGCCUAACCAGGGACAGCAGCUGCAAAUUAUCAUAUGGCUAGACGCCUUAGAUUCAUAACAUCGGCCACCUAGUUGGCAAUGUUUUCUUGUACUGUCCUUGUCAAAUAAACAAAUAAAG
Molecule: long non-coding RNA, 872 nt
Filed under: Neogobius melanostomus (round goby)
Lineage: Eukaryota; Metazoa; Chordata; Actinopteri; Gobiiformes; Gobiidae
Description: lncRNA (ENSNMLG00000023616.1)
Source: RNAcentral